Bubalus bubalis (water buffalo) is the source of this 581-nucleotide long non-coding RNA. RefSeq lists it as uncharacterized. NCBI's taxonomy places the organism in Eukaryota, Metazoa, Chordata, Mammalia, Artiodactyla, Bovidae. The record is from RefSeq and is a predicted model, not a curated record. The transcript is spliced from 3 exons.
GGCAGGGCGGCGCUUCACCCGACGCUUCAGACGGCCGGCUGCGGGCUCGGGUCUCAGACACCUGGGCCUGGAAGCUCCCUGAGGCAGGGGGUGGGGAAUGAGGUUGUUUAGAGAAGGCAAAGGAGGAGAGAUUCCCUCCCUCCAGCCUAGACACGUUAAUAAUUAACUUGCCUACCCGGGAGCUCGCCGGCGUUGCCAGAAAAGAUGAGUAAUGGCCCUGGAGUCCCGGCCCCGUGCCCGCGGGCUUCUGGGCUCGGGGCUGGGACGGGCCCUGGAACAAAGCCUCCGCAUUCCUCCGGGAAGGCUGUACUUGGAGACCAAUUCUCAAAACAACAAGGCUGCUCCUCGGCGCCCUUCCCGAUGAGUAACCCAAAGCCGGUCGCCGGCUCAAUGAAUUCUCUCCCUGAAACUCCGGCGGCGAGCUGCGGCUCCCACGCGGAUGGCCGGCCGGGGACCCACCGGCUCCCGUCACGCCAGCGCCCAGACACAAAGCACCCCUAGAAGCAGCCUGCGCACCCUGCGCCCUGCCCGCCCCCAAACGGCCCGCAGCCCCCCGAAAGUUCCGACGCGCGUGGACACAC